UGUGAAGACUUGCAGCCCGGCAUAUGGUCUGUUUUGUUGAACGUUCCAUGUGCACUUGAGAAAAAUGUCUGUUCUGUUGUUGGGUAGGUUGUUCUCUAAAUGUCACGUAAGUAAGGUGAGUAAGGUGGUUGAUAGUGCUGUUUAGGUUUUAGUGGUUUUCUGCUCUCUUGUUCUAUCACUUCCUGAGACAGGAGUGUUGAAGUUUUCAACCAUUUCUCCAUUCAUUUCUCGCAGCUUUUUCUUUGCUUAUUUUGAAGCUCUAUAGAUUGGUGUAUGUACUUACAGAAUUUUUAAGUCGUUAUGAUGAACGGAUCCUGUAUUAUUAUGAAUUAUCCUUUUUAUCUCUGAUAAUAUUACUUGUGUUGACGUUGACUUUGAUAAUCACAGAGCCACUCCACUCUCUCAUGAUUAGCGAUUGGUUGGAAUACCCUUUUCCUUACACUUACGUUUAACCUAGCUAUGUCUUUUUGUUUGUUUUUGUUUUUUAAGGGACAGGGUUUUGGGCCAGACGUAGUGGCUCACACCUGUAAUCCCAGCACUUUGGGAGGCCAAGGCAGGCGGAUCACCUGAGGUCAGGAGUUUGAGACCAGCCUGGCCAACAUAGUGAAAACUCCAUCUCCACUAAAACUACACAAAAAAAUUAGCUGGAUGUAGUGGCACAUGCCUGUAAUCCCAGCUACUUGGGAGGCUGAGGCAGGAGAAUUGCUUGAACCCAGAAUGUGGAGGUUGCAGUGAGCUGAGAUCACACCAUUGCACACCAGCCUGGGUGGCAAAGCAAGACUGUCUCAAAAAAAAGGAACAGGAUUUUGCUGUGUUGCCCAGGCUGCAGUGCAGUAGCAGGAUGAUAGCUCAUUGCAGCCUUGAGCUCCUGGCCUCCAGUGAUCCUCCCACCGUGGCCUCCCAAAGUGCUGGGAAAACAGGUGUGAGCCACCACCCCCGCCAGCCUCAGUGUCAUGGUGAUGUUCACUUUCAUAGCACGUGUUUCGUGUGUUUUUCCCUAGAAUGGAUGAUGAACUCGUUGUUGGACAUAGUGCGAGAUCAGACAUCUCCAGCUUCCCUUGUACAUCUGGCUUUUAAAUUUCUUUACAUCAUCACCAAGACUUGGGAAACCCGCUACAUGCUUUUGCUAUGGCUCUCUGUGACCUGCCUGAUUCCUUUUGAUUUUUCUCACCUUGACGUGAACCUCGUCACCCAGCCUGGGCAAACACGAAUGUCCAUAAUGGACCGUAUUCUCCAAAUAGCAGAGGUAAAUAUUAUGCAGAUAAUUAGCUGCCAGUUUGUAUUCUCUAUCAUGUUCAUGCUGUCUUGAUAUCAGUGUUUAACUCAGUAAGCUUUUGAUAUAUAUUUAUCCAGGUGUUGUUUUUUUCAGUGAGGUGAACUCCCACGUGGUAACUUACUUUGAAACUGUGGUAAUUCAUGUAGGGGUUGGGUUGAAUUAGUAAAUCUUGUUUCUUUGUGGGUAAUGCAGAUACUCUGUUGAGGGUAAUCAUGGCAGAUAAGGGGUUUAGUGGCAAUGGUAAGAGAAAAUAAGGCCCAUUUUACAUUUAGUCCUUAACAUUAUGUAAAUAAUACACAUUUACUUGUAGGAAAACUAGAAAACAAAGAUAGGCGAGAAAAAUACUGAAUUUAAGUUUAUCAAAUUCUGGUGCCAAGAGAUGAUUGUUGUUUAUUUUCUUUAAACUUUUCCUGAUGUAAAUAUUCUGCAUAUAAACACAGCUUAUUGUAUUAGUUAUCUAUUGCUUCAUAAAUAACCCAAACUUGAAUGUUGGACGCACAUUUAUCCUCACGUAGUUUCUGUGAGUUGGGAGUCUAGCAUGGCUGAGAUGGGUCCUCUGUGUCAAGCUUGCCGACAGCUGCAGUCAAAACUUGAGGUGGGCAGCCUCUGCCCCAAGCCCAUUGGAGUGAGGCCGCCCUCAGUUCACUGCCACCUGGGCCCCUCCAGCAUAGUGGCUUAUUCCAUCAAAGACUGCAAGGGAGAGACCCUGCUAAUGAGUUGGAAGUCAUGGUAAUAUGUUACCUGAUGUGGAAGUGACAUCCCAUACCUCUACCAGAUCCUGUGGUUAGCAGCAAGUCGCCGAGUCCAACCCAGACAAGUGAGCACUAGGAGCCUAUCAGGCUAUGAGCCAUUUUGGUCGCCACGGUCUUCCUGCCACACUGACUGCGAUAGCCCUGGUCAGCAUUCACUGAGUGCCUGCCGUAUGCUUGGCACCAUUCAGACACUCAUAGAUUAAUCUUUAAUCACUUAUGGAUUAAUAAUUUAACCUAUACGUUGGGCUGGGCACAGUGUUUUAUGCCUGUAGUCUCUGCUCUUUGGGAGGCUGGGGCGGGCAGAUCACAUGAGAUCAGGAGUUUGAGAUCACCCUGGCCAACGUAGUGAAACCCUGUGUCUACUAAAAAUACAAAAAUUAGCUGGGUCUGGUGACACAUACCUGUAAUCCGAGCUACUCAAUAGGCUGAGGCAGGAGAAUUGCUUUAGCUUGGGAGGUGGAGAUUGCAGUGAGCCGAGAUUGCGCCACUGCACUCCUGCCUGGGCAACAGAGUGAGACUGUCUCAAAAAAAAAAAAAAUUAACUUAUACAUUGAUGAUUUAUAGAUCAUCAGUGAUUAAUUUAUUAACUGUGGUUAAUAAUCAUUUAAUUUUCCUUCACGAGGCUGUUGACAAUUCUUAUCCUCAUAUAACUAAGGAGGCAACAGGCAUAAAAAUAAAUAACUUAGUGUGCUUUGCUCCUAAGCGGUGGCCCCAUGUUAGAAUCCGGGCGAUUUGUCUCUGGACUCUGUGCUCUUCAUCAGGGCUCGAUGCUGCCCCGUGACCUGCUGUUCUGAGGCCUUUUUCCCCUUAGCAGCAUGUUCUGAGUGUCUUGUGAUGUCAGAAGUGUCCCCCUCAUAAUUGCUAUGGGAAAAGUACUCUGUUGUAACCUGACUUAAAAGUUCUCUCUGAUAGAUGGACAUUUUGUUUGUCCUAGUUUUGUUAUGUUAGAAGUAGUGUGGUGAUGAAGAACCUUUUGCCCACCCUCAUUUACCUGUCUGCUGAGAGGGACUUCCAGGUCAAAGGGAGCACGGUAUGUGAAGACUUGACAGUCUGUGAUCGUCCUUAGAAAGCCUGCCUUGGACAAAAAGAUUUUCUAAGUGUAUCAUUUUGGGGAAGAAAAGUAGCUAAGACGAGCAUUGCAAACCUUUUAAGGCAGCCCUCCUAAAAAUAAAUCUAGCUGGGUGUUGUGGUUUCACGCCUGUAAUUCCAGCACUUUGUGA
This 3248-nucleotide long non-coding RNA is filed under the name Aotus nancymaae (Ma's night monkey). RNAcentral's name for it is "lncRNA (ENSANAG00000039235.1)". Lineage: Eukaryota; Metazoa; Chordata; Mammalia; Primates; Aotidae. The record is from RNAcentral.